ACACAACAGAUUUCAAGGAGGAGGAGGUAUUUUGGGCCUGAAGAGCUUUCCAAUUCCUAUCAAACCAUUCCCCAUAGGCACCUCUCUAAUAAGUAAUAUAUUCUUAAGUGGACUUUCUUUGGUGUGUCAUAUUUUAAGAGAAAAAGACAGUGGUGACCCACUGUGAUGUCAGUUCCAGGAUUAGGGCCCAUUCUUCAAUUCCCCCUGAAAAGAGGAGGGAAAAAAAACCCCUCCCUCUGGCUCACUGUCAGAGUUCCAGUCAGUCUGAGUGUACCAAGCAGACAGACCACCCACAAACUGCAACAAAUAACAACCGUCUCUUCUUCUGAGGCAGUUAUCCACCAUUUCAUCCAAGAAUUCUUUCUUCUUUGUGGAAGCUUGCUGAUUGCUGACAAUCUACAGUCUAAAUGAUGGUCAAGAAAUACUGCAGUAACUCUACUGGAGCCACUGGAGUGAGGAACCCUAGCAAAGACCCAUCUCUGCUGGGCAGAGUUUUCUCCUGCAUUAAUUGCCCCUGAAAGAAGAUGCCGGAAAAGCAAGGCUGAUAUGUAGGGGUCAGUCAGUGAAUGAGGAUGCACCAUACCUCUGUUCAGAUCAUUGACUCAGAACCUGAAGACACGAACACCAGAUGCAAGCGAUUUCUUCAAAUUGUGUCCUUGCAAUUAUUAUUCUGAAUCUCUAUUGAAAUAUUAUCUCAACUUUAUUGGA
RNAcentral lists this long non-coding RNA (708 nucleotides) under Equus caballus (horse). RNAcentral's name for it is "lncRNA (ENSECAG00000055067.1)". Lineage: Eukaryota; Metazoa; Chordata; Mammalia; Perissodactyla; Equidae. The record is from RNAcentral.